GUGGAUUAGAUACCCUAGUAGUCCACGCUGUAAACGAUGUCGACUUGGAGGUUGUUCCCUUGAGGAGUGGCUUCCGGAGCUAACGCGUUAAGUCGACCGCCUGGGGAGUACGGCCGCAAGGUUAAAACUCAAAUGAAUUGACGGGGGCCCGCACAAGCGGUGGAGCAUGUGGUUUAAUUCGAUGCAACGCGAAGAACCUUACCUACUCUUGACAUCCAGAGAACUUAGCAGAGAUGCUUUGGUGCCUUCGGGAACUCUGAGACAGGUGCUGCACGGUCGUCGCCAACU
This 288-nucleotide ribosomal RNA is filed under the name uncultured bacterium. RNAcentral describes it as "partial 16S ribosomal RNA". It matches the Rfam family "Bacterial small subunit ribosomal RNA", at positions 773 to 1060 of the family's 1533-position model. The record is from RNAcentral.